UACGGAGGGUGCAAGCGUUAUCCGGAUUUAUUGGGUUUAAAGGGUCCGUAGGCGGAUCUGUAAGUCAGUGGUGAAAUCUCACAGCUUAACUGUGAAACUGCCAUUGAUACUGCAGGUCUUGAGUAAAGUAGAAGUGGCUGGAAUAAGUAGUGUAGCGGUGAAAUGCAUAGAUAUUACUUAGAACACCAAUUGCGAAGGCAGGUCACUAUGUUUUUAACUGACGCUGAUGGACGAAAAGCGUGGGGAGCGAACAGG
Molecule: ribosomal RNA, 255 nt
Filed under: uncultured bacterium
Lineage: Bacteria
Description: partial 16S ribosomal RNA
Rfam family: Bacterial small subunit ribosomal RNA
Source: RNAcentral